Molecule: small nucleolar RNA, 90 nt
Organism: Rattus norvegicus (Norway rat)
Lineage: Eukaryota; Metazoa; Chordata; Mammalia; Rodentia; Muridae
Product: small nucleolar RNA SNORD116
Source: Ensembl
UGAUCAAUAAUAAUUCCCAAAUAUUUCUGGAAAAAGCUGAACAAAAUGAUUGAUAACUUAAUACCAUCACUCUUAUCUGGGCUGAGAUUG